RNAcentral lists this ribosomal RNA (251 nucleotides) under uncultured prokaryote. Its description in RNAcentral is "partial 16S rRNA". It matches the Rfam family "Bacterial small subunit ribosomal RNA", at positions 525 to 775 of the family's 1533-position model. The record is from RNAcentral.
ACGGAGGGUGCAAGCGUUAUUCGGAAUUACUGGGCGUAAAGGGCGUGCAGGCGGGAUAGCAAGUCAGAGGUGAAAGCCCAGGGCUUAACUCCAGAACUGCCUUGGAAACUGUUUUUCUUGAGUAUUGUAGAGGAAGGCGGAAUUUGCGGUGUAGAGGUGAAAUUCGUAGAUAUCGGGAGGAACACCGAUGGCGAAGGCGGCUUUCUAGGCAGCAACUGACGCUGAGACGCGAAAGCGUGGGGAGCAAACAG